AGAGUUUGAUCCUGGCUCAGAUUGAACGCUGGCGGAAUGCUUUACACAUGCAAGUCGAACGGCAGCACGGGGGCAACCCUGGUGGCGAGUGGCGAACGGGUGAGUAAUACAUCGGAACGUGCCCAGUCGUGGGGGAUAACGUAGCGAAAGCUACGCUAAUACCGCAUACGAACUCUGGUUGAAAGCGGGGGAUCGCAAGACCUCGCGCGAUUGGAGCGGCCGAUGGCAGAUUAGGUAGUUGGUGGGGUAAAGGCCUACCAAGCCGACGAUCUGUAGCUGGUCUGAGAGGACGACCAGCCACACUGGGACUGAGACACGGCCCAGACUCCUACGGGAGGCAGCAGUGGGGAAUUUUGGACAAUGGGCGCAAGCCUGAUCCAGCCAUUCCGCGUGCAGGAUGAAGGCCCUCGGGUUGUAAACUGCUUUUGUACGGAACGAAAAGGCUCUGGUUAAUACCCGGGGCUCAUGACGGUACCGUAAGAAUAAGCACCGGCUAACUACGUGCCAGCAGCCGCGGUAAUUC
Molecule: ribosomal RNA, 523 nt
Filed under: uncultured bacterium
Lineage: Bacteria
Description: bacterial SSU rRNA
Rfam family: Bacterial small subunit ribosomal RNA
Source: RNAcentral